Molecule: long non-coding RNA, 210 nt
Filed under: Elaeis guineensis (African oil palm)
Lineage: Eukaryota; Viridiplantae; Streptophyta; Magnoliopsida; Arecales; Arecaceae
Description: long non-coding RNA (EGUI_LNC013276)
Source: RNAcentral
AUUAUAAAUAAUUCUGUAUACUUCUGAAAUUUUAUAGAACUAACCGUUAGACUUUGAGUCAACUCGGAUAGGAUUUGAGUCAACUCGAGCUGUCUGCAAGUUCGCUUAAAUUUUUUUCUCAAAAAUCAGACUUUCUAUCUAUUUCUAAGAACUUCAGCUUGGAUAUUCGAGUCGACUCAAAGAUUUGUUCGAAUUUUUAUAAGUCUACUC